CGGACGGGUGAGUAACGCGUGGAAAACCUGCCGUAUACUGGGGGAUAACACUUGGAAAUAGGUGCUAAUACCGCAUAAGCGCACAGCUUCGCAUGAAGCGGUGUGAAAAACUCUGGUGGUAUACGAUGGUUCCGCGUCUGAUUAGCUAGUUGGUGGGGUAAUGGCCUACCAAGGCAACGAUCAGUAGCCGGCCUGAGAGGGUGAACGGCCACAUUGGGACUGAGACACGGCCCAAACUCCUACGGGAGGCAGCAG
Molecule: ribosomal RNA, 255 nt
Filed under: uncultured bacterium
Lineage: Bacteria
Description: partial 16S ribosomal RNA
Rfam family: Bacterial small subunit ribosomal RNA
Source: RNAcentral